UCUAUCUCUCUCCAACAAAGGGGUUCAUGCCUCCCAUACCUGCAACUAAACAGCACAGAAAUUGUCACAUGGGGAAGAAAUGAGGGACACUUUACAGAAAUCUUUAACAAGGACUGAUGCUGCCAUACAUCAUCGUGGGGGCCGUAAUAGGAGUAAUUGUUUGGGAAAAGAAGAUAAGAGAAAAGGUAAAGAAAUGGGCAGCGGACAAACAAUAGGAGAAGAUCCUGGUGGCAAACGAAGGACAAUGUGAAAGGAAAUGCUGAAGGC
Microtus ochrogaster (prairie vole) is the source of this 267-nucleotide long non-coding RNA. RefSeq lists it as uncharacterized. The transcript is spliced from 3 exons. Lineage: Eukaryota; Metazoa; Chordata; Mammalia; Rodentia; Cricetidae. The record is from RefSeq and is a predicted model, not a curated record.